Molecule: ribosomal RNA, 483 nt
Filed under: uncultured bacterium
Lineage: Bacteria
Description: bacterial SSU rRNA
Rfam family: Bacterial small subunit ribosomal RNA
Source: RNAcentral
AACGCUAGCGACAGGCCUAACACAUGCAAGUUCAGGGGCAGCGAGGAUGUAGCAAUACAUUUGUCGGCGACCGGCGCACGGGUGAGUAACACGUAUGCAACCUGCCCGCCACAGGGGGAUAAACGCUGGAAACGGCGCCUAAUACCCCCAUACUAUCGCUAUGCUGCAUGGCAUGGCGAUGAAAACUCCGGUGGUGGCGGAUGGGCAUGCGGCGCAUUAGCUAGUUGGUGAGGUAACGGCUCACCAAGGCGACGAUGCAUAGGGGUUCUGAGAGGAAGGUCCCCCACACUGGUACUGAGACACGGUCCAGACUCCUACGGGAGGCAGCAGUGAGGAAUAUUGGUCAAUGGGCGAGAGCCUGAACCAGCCAAGUAGCGUGAAGGAUGACUGCCCUAUGGGUUGUAAACUUCUUUGUUCGGGAAUAAAGUGCAGUAUGUAUACUGUUUGUAUGUACCGUUCGAAUAAGCAUCGGCUAAUUCCGUG